GAUGAACGCUGGCGGCGUGCUUAACACAUGCAAGUCGAACGAUGAAGCUGGAGCUUGCUCUUAUGAAGUUAGCGGCGGACGGGUGAGUAACACGUGGGUAACCUGCCCAUAAGACUGGGAUAACUCCGGGAAACCGGGGCUAAUACCGGAUAACAUUUUGAACCGCAUGGUUCGAAAUUGAAAGGCGGCUUCGGCUGUCACUUAUGGAUGGACCCGCGUCGCAUUAGCUAGUUGGUGAGGUAACGGCUCACCAAGGCAACGAUGCGUAGCCGAGCUGAGGGGGUAAUCGGCCACACUGGGACUGGGACACGGCCCAGACUCCUACGGGAGGAAGCAGUAGGGAAUCUUCCGCAAUGGACGAAAGGCUGACGGAGCAACGCCGCGUGAGUGAUGAAGGCUUUCGGGUCGUAAAACUCUGUUGUUAGGGAAGAACAAGUGCUAGUUGAAUAAGCUGACACCUUGACGGUACCUAACCAGAAAGCCACGGCUAACUACGUGCCAGCCGCCGCCGUAA
This 514-nucleotide ribosomal RNA is filed under the name uncultured bacterium. RNAcentral describes it as "partial 16S ribosomal RNA". It matches the Rfam family "Bacterial small subunit ribosomal RNA", at positions 28 to 523 of the family's 1533-position model. The record is from RNAcentral.